AAAAUAAAAUUUGUAAAAUUUUGUAGAAUUCGUUCGUCCCGACACCGAUGGCUGGUACGCGGCCACUUCAUGGUGCCAAGUUCCCGCAAGACACCGUUUCUCCAGCUUAGAGCUUCAGCUCCACCUUCACUCACAGUUUCCUCCUGCUACCGUUCCCUUUGAAACUUCCUAUCUCAAAGCAAAAACUCUUCACCAAACGCCAGGCACAUCACCUCCACCUUGCAUCUCAAAUCAACAUCUUUCCCAGAGACGUUGCUUUGCUCUCCUUCCUCGAUCUUGUCCCUUUCCUCUAACAACCUGCUCCUGCUACUGCAUUUUCCAUCGGCAUUUGUACGCGCCACUCUGUUGCCUUGGAAAAUUUGAAUAUAUUUAAUUCUGGCUAAUUGCUCCUGAAACCCUAAUUUAUUAGGUUUUAAGCAACUGGACUUCGGGAGCAAAAGAAGGCGGCCUCGAAAUUCCUGUUGGCACCUUUCGAUGCCUCCCGAGAAAGCCUUCGCCCUGCCUAUCUCUUACCCGGUGCACCAUUUUCUGAUAAGCAUUCAGCGGGUGGUGAAGUGGAGUAUGUGAAUAAGGAAUUGCAGGAGCCAGGAAGUUCAAAGGCUGUUGAGAUCUGCCGCCAGGGAUUGUAUUCCGCAAGAGAGGAAUUCGUUUGUUGCGUUUCAGGCCAAUACCGGAGUUCAGAUCUUUCUCUUCUCUUAAUGUACUGGCGAAUGAAACUGACAUUCAAGUUGCUUCCAAUGGCCAAUAGAAAGAAGGUAGCUGAUGCACUAAUGAAUACUGUCUCUUCACUAAACAAAUUUGAGUUGGGUGUGAAGGACUGACUUGAAGUUUGAUCGGUUUUUCUAUUUAAUCUCAGAAUUAAAUCCCACUCUUGGUAGGUGCAGGCUACCUGAAUUGUAAUAGAGGGGUCUGAUUGGAAUGAAGUCUAGUUCAGGUUUGUUACUCUUAUGUUAUGUGUAGUUCUUUUUGUUCAGUUUGCUUGUUGUGUUUCUUAUUUAUGCUAAUUAUGGAAUUUGUGACAUCAACACAGAAAGCUUACUCUCUUCCACUCUGCACCCCUAGAAAAAUAUAUUUCCAUGUGAUUUCUGGAUUAGUUAAACAUUCAGUAUCUGUCCUGUUGUUCCAGUGAUUAAAACUUUGCAUCCCUUUUGGAAUUGCAGAGUUGCUUAUUGUUGACCAUGGCAUGGAUAAUACUUUACUUGAUAUUUUAGCUACUUCAGGUAUGAAUCUGUCAAUUAGUGACGCCAUUGUUUUGUGCAUGGAGGAAAAGCUGCUCUACAGGCUAUUAUGCUUUGAAACUCACUGGUUUACCUGUGUAUAAUUUUCUAAUAACUUGGUCAGCAUGGGGUUGUCUGCUUGUUGAAAAUUCAUGUAUCAAUAAUUUUCUGCCUCUAUUAUGGACUGAUAAUAAUAAUAAUAAUAAUAAUAAUAAUAAUAAUAAUAAUAAUAAAUUAAGAUAUGAACAAUUUUUCUGACAUUGUAUCCUGCAACUAUUUGAGAUAGUUGCUUAGUUUUGUAGUGUAGGUAUACAUUACAAAUGGAGUAUUUGAAAUGCAUCAAAGUCCUGGAUAUGAGAUUCUUGAAUAAGUGCCAGCCCCUGUUCAUUAACAUGCUCUUUCCUGGCUGAUGCUAAAUCUGUGCACCCUUUCCUUCAUAUGAAUUGGACCUAUUGUGCUUGUCUCAUACCUACUUGAACUAUUGUUGAAAAUUAACAGCUGUUAGUAGUAGAUAUAUACUUUCAGAAUACAUCGUUUGGGCCAUCUGGUUAAAAGAGAUAAGGAGAAACUUGUGCCGGGUGGAUUCAUCAUGUGCCAUGUGGUUUUGGCUUUUAUAUGUUGGAUCAAAAGAAAACUUCUGCUGGCUUAGACCAAGCAUAGCCCCAUUUUAGCCAGGAGUCAGAAAUGUGGUUGUGAGUGUGAAAUAUGAGUGUCCUUGCUCUUAUCUCUUCAGCUGUUCCCUGCUAAAAUGGAUCCUUUUUCUGAAAAGAAAUUAUUUUUGAGUGUGAAAUAUGCUAGCAUAUGUUUGAGUUGCUUGGAGAACUAAACACUGCUUUAAUGCAGUUUGCAUUCCUGUGAUUUCUACAAACAAUGACAGAGACAUUUAUACUAUAUUUGGGUGUUGGAACAUGUGAUUUCUGCAAUAUGAUCAAAUGACUCUUUCUGUUGAGUGGGAACACCUGAAGCCUGUACCAAAUACAAGCGACAACAAGGUUUUCCAUCAUCGGGAUAUGUCUGCAUUGAUCUUGGCAAGCUGCGAAGCUUGUUGAACAGAUUUAGUGGAUCGUCCAAGAGCCCAAAAUGAGCAUCAGGGUCACCAAUCUGUGAAAGCUUUACAUGGGAAAACCCUAGAGAUGGCAGCAGAUGAUCAGGCCAAUCACAGUAGAAGUGGAAGAUGGAAUUGGGCAGAGUGGUGGAUGGUUUAUUCAUGAAAUCGGCCAAGAGAACUGUGUGGGCAAGGGCACACUUGUCAGCUAUGAUCUUCAGUACUUGCGUGGCGUGGGAGUGAGAAAGGUAGUAGAGGAUACCUUCUAGGAUCCAGACCGUGUUCUUCUCUGGUACAAACCCUGAUAUCUGAAGUUUUUCAAGCAAGUCAUUAUUUCUGAUGUCAGCUGCUACUCUGUUGAGGGACUUUGCUGUUAUUUUUGGAUGCUUAUGUUCAUCUAUGGAUCCCAUUGCUGCAUCUAGAAGAGUGGCUUUCACUUCUAAGACUUCAGGAAAAUCAACUUCAAAGACAUCGCUUUCCCUCAAGCAGCUUAGACGGGCCAGCUUAAGACAAUGCAAUCAUUUGUAGUGUGAGCUUUCCAAAUGAUAAAUUUAAUUGGCAGCAUUGAUUUCAAAUAAAAGUACUAUUUGGAACAUGCUAAAAUUUGUGCUUAGUAGGCACCAACCUGCACCAAGGAGAACAACCUGUGCUUCACCAUUGAAGGAAUUGAGAGCAGCCUCAAGUUUUGAAUCAAACCAGAGGGUUCGAACAGCGAGAAGCACUCCUGAAAUUUCUCGGGCAUUUUUGAGGCAGUCAUUCUUUAUCUUCUCAUGAAAGUUUCUGAGAGAAACUUGAAGAGUAAUGGAAGAUAGGUGAGUGGGAGAGCAAGUGAUAUAUAAUGGGAAGUGGGAGAAAUCAGGCAUUGUUGUAAGAGAUAAGAAAAGAGAGCCACAUAUAACCAACGUUUGAGAAUCGAGCAAAACCGUAUCCAGCUUCUCUGCCUUGAGAAAAAGGAAGGUAGCAAUUUAGUCCACGGGUGCCACCAUUUAUUUUGCACGACCCUUCCUUUUCUGCUGUCCCUGUCGGUUGAAACAAGUAGCUAUGAAAUAUUAAUUGAUCCGGCUAUGCACAGGAAUAAGCCCUAUCAUCAGCUGUGGGUGGCUCUCAACCCUCUGGUUGGACUUGGAUAAUAAAAUACGACUUUACAUUGUCUAAACAAGUACUCCUUUGUCAUUUGGUCACACAGUAGUGAGCAAGUCCUAUUCCAGGAGUGCCAGUGUGCAACCCUAUAGCUGGCAGUGCUGCAAAAAAAGCUUCCAAUAGGAUUACAUUGACAAUUGGGUGGUUCUGAACGAGACAAGGAGCCCCAUUUGAAAUUUUUAUCUGAUAAGAGGAAACCCGUUGGAAAUGAUCGUUUGGAUAUUUCCCGGAUAUUAUCAACACAUGCUAUCCUCUGUGCUUGUGGUUGGGGCCGACACUAAUGUGAUCAUUAUGAGCCUGCUCUUAGGUUGGGUUGGGUUUCGUACUUAGGGCGGGGAUAAAAUUCUCCUUGCAGCUGUUUUAUGCUGAGAUAGGAAAAAUUAUUCACCAACAGUAAUUUUUUGUCCCGUCUUAAUAGUGAAUUAGUGAUUUUGAGUCUUAAAAUGAA
Molecule: long non-coding RNA, 3850 nt
Organism: Hevea brasiliensis (rubber tree)
Lineage: Eukaryota; Viridiplantae; Streptophyta; Magnoliopsida; Malpighiales; Euphorbiaceae
Exons: 7
Source: RefSeq, a predicted model, not a curated record